RNAcentral lists this unclassified non-coding RNA (305 nucleotides) under plant metagenome. Its description in RNAcentral is "partial contains 5.8S ribosomal RNA, internal transcribed spacer 2, and large subunit ribosomal RNA". The stretch from base 1 to 105 matches the Rfam family "5.8S ribosomal RNA", at positions 50 to 154 of the family's 154-position model. The record is from RNAcentral.
GAAAUGCGAUAAGUAAUGUGAAUUGCAGAAUUCAGUGAAUCAUCGAAUCUUUGAACGCACAUUGCGCCCGCCAGUAUUCUGGCGGGCAUGCCUGUUCGAGCGUCAUUUCAACCAUCAAGCCCCCGGCUUGUGUUGGGGACCUGCGGCUGCCCGCAGGCCCUGAAAAACAGUGGCGAGCUCGCUGUCACACCGAGCGUAGUAGCAUACAUUCUCGCUCAGGGCGUGCUGCGGGUUCCGGCCGUUAAACGACCUUCAUAACCCAAGGUUGACCUCGGAUCAGGUAGGAAGACCCGCUGAACUUAAGC